Amblyraja radiata (thorny skate) is the source of this 352-nucleotide long non-coding RNA. RefSeq lists it as uncharacterized. The transcript has 2 exons. NCBI's taxonomy places the organism in Eukaryota, Metazoa, Chordata, Chondrichthyes, Rajiformes, Rajidae. The record is from RefSeq and is a predicted model, not a curated record.
CACCGCGAUCCUGAAUAAGGGACAGCGCAGAAGAUGAGAAAGUCUCGUUUAAUUAUUUUUGGAAUCCUGCUGCUGACUCAACUGAUCGCAGGGGGAUUAGACAAAUCGAAUCCCGGACCAGAGGAGGAAUGCCUAAGCCAUGGAGGAGACUGCUUACCCCAGUGCGUCUACCCGCAGGACAAAAAGUUACAAAUUUGGUGUCCUGACAAUCUUCAAUGCUGCAGGCAAUAUUAUUAAUCAUGGCGUCUUCGACACGAACAUUUUCCAGUUAUUUAGCUCACUUACAACCGUCCCUGGAUGGCAACUGAAAGAUGAACUGUAUCAAUAAAUACACGUGGUUCUAUUCAUCACA